Molecule: long non-coding RNA, 1690 nt
Filed under: Capsicum annuum
Lineage: Eukaryota; Viridiplantae; Streptophyta; Magnoliopsida; Solanales; Solanaceae
Description: long non-coding RNA (CANN_LNC012773)
Source: RNAcentral
CGACACAAUAGGUUUGACAUCAUCAAGCACCUAACCUCAGAAUGAUGAUUUAUUUUGUGGUAUACGUCAACAUUCAAAAGAUUCCUUCUUUCCUUUUAUGUAACUCUUUAAUUUUAUUUUCCAUGUUUAAAAUCAGAAGAUUACAGGAUAUUUUGAUUAAUUCAUAUGUCUUUAAUUUAAGAUCAUAAAAUUUAAAGUUGUUUAUUACUUUUUUAAUAUAAAUACCUUUUUUUUACUCUAUAAUAAGUUAUAAUCAGACAAACAAAUUAAAACAAAUUUAAGUGUUAGUUUCUAUUGACUACCAGUACACUGCUGUAUUAAAUCUCAGAAUGCAGGACAAUAUGUUAAACACAACAAAGUUUGGAACUUGGAUAGACUUACCAAUUAAUUAUGACCUAAACAUAUACUUGAAUGUGCAUGACAUAAAUGAUAGAAUUAGGUGACCGUACAAGAAUAUAAUCACAUUACAGCUCUUUGAAAUUUAAUACCUAAAUUAUUACUCGAAUUGAAUGAUGUGAAAAUAUAAAUUCAUGCACCCAUAUAGGAACCAAAUUGGACGAAGGACUAAAAUUUGGGUCCCUUUUAGCAACUGGUGCCAGCAGUACCUAAUUCGAGUACCUAAUUUUAGAGUGAGAGACUGAGAUUUAGGCCACUUAAAAAUUGAAUACUAAUAGAAGAAAAUGACAAUCUCAAGGUUUUUAUUUGUAAAAAUAAAAAUCUCUCGUAAAAAGAUCAUAAUUUAAAAAAAAAAAUUGUAAAUGACCUCCUGCCCCUCGCACAAAAAAAAAGGCGAAGAAAAAUUUCAACGAUCCAACAACUAAUUAAUGACUUUAUAGCGAUUAAUGAACAUCCACGAGAAGUGACUAAUACAAAUUAUUCUCUUCAAAAUCUAGUGGAAGUUUCCUAUAUAUGAAAACGAGAUUUAUUGGCUUAGUACCAAAACGAAUGAAAAUCUUUGUGGAAAUAUUAGUUCACAUAUUAAGUAAAAGUUAAUAGUGACAGAGAAGUAUAAACCCUACCUCCAGAAAAGCAGUAGAUAAGAAGAGUGGUCAACUCCAACAGACAACUUCAUAAUCAUGCAAGGUCACCUUUUAUUUUGGGCAUGUGUGUGUGUGACUUAUUCUAUAGGUGUCCAAAUCUAGAUAAUAGUACAAGACAAUGUAAUAUAUUCACCUAAUAAUUGAACCAUAUACUAAAUCAUUUAAACUUAUGUCUAUUCCAGAUUCAAUAUUUUUGCCAAUUAUUGUCGGUGUAGAUCAUAUAUAGUUUCAAUAUCCCAGUGUAUUUAACUCAAUAUCAAUUUUCAACAGAAUACGUAAGUCUAAUAAGUUUUGACUGCAUUAUGGAAUAUAAUGGGGAAAACAAUACUCCUGUUUAAUUUUAUGACUCUUUCGCUUCCAAUUCGAAAAGAAUGACAUUUUUUUUUUAUUUAAAUGAUGUUCAAUCAAUAUUUUGCAUUUUACUCUUAACGACAUGUUACUAGAAUCACAGAGGUAAUAACAUUUUAGAAUCACAGAGGUAAUAACAUUUUAAAGAUCUGAGGAUGCUUUUGAUUUGUUUUAGAAGUCUAUAAUUCCUUCUUAAACUUUGUAUUCAGUCAAAUAUCACCCCCCUCCCACCCCACCCCCACCAAAAAAAAAAAAAUAGACCGAAGGAAGUGAAACAGAAAACUUACGAUUAGUGGCCCUAG